RNAcentral lists this ribosomal RNA (1000 nucleotides) under Bacillus aerius. RNAcentral's name for it is "bacterial SSU rRNA". It matches the Rfam family "Bacterial small subunit ribosomal RNA", at positions 56 to 1040 of the family's 1533-position model. Lineage: Bacteria; Bacillati; Bacillota; Bacilli; Caryophanales; Bacillaceae. The record is from RNAcentral.
UGCAAGUCGAGCGGACAGAAGGGAGCUUGCUCCGGGAUGUAGCGGCGGACGGGUGAGUAACACGUGGGUAACUGCCUGUAAGACUGGGAUAACUCCGGGAAACCGGAGCUAAUACCGGAUAGUUCCCUGAACCGCAUGGUUCAAGGAUGAAAGACGGUUUCGGCUGUCACUUACAGAUGGACCCGCGGCGCAUUAGCUAGUUGGUGAGGUAACGGCUCACCAAGGCGACGAUGCGUAGCCGACCUGAGAGGGUGAUCGGCCACACUGGGACUGAGACACGGCCCAGACUCCUACGGGAGGCAGCAGUAGGGAAUCUUCCGCAAUGGACGAAAGUCUGACGGAGCAACGCCGCGUGAGUGAUGAAGGUCUUCGGAUCGUAAAGCUCUGUUGUUAGGGAAGAACAAGUGCAAGAGUAACUGCUUGCACCUUGACGGUACCUAACCAGAAAGCCACGGCUAACUACGUGCCAGCAGCCGCGGUAAUACGUAGGUGGCCAGCGUUGUCCGGAAUUAUUGGGCGUAAAGGGCUCGCNGGCGGUUUCUUAAGUCUGAUGUGAAAGCCCCCGGCUCAACCGGGGAGGGUCAUUGGAAACUGGGAAACUUGAGUGCAGAAGAGGAGAGUGGAAUUCCACGUGUAGCGGUGAAAUGCGUAGAGAUGUGGAGGAACACCAGUGGCGAAGGCGACUCUCUGGUCUGUAACUGACGCUGAGGAGCGAAAGCGUGGGGAGCGAACAGGAUUAGAUACCCUGGUAGUCCACGCCGUAAACGAUGAGUGCUAAGUGUUAGGGGGUUUCCGCCCCUUAGUGCUGCAGCUAACGCAUUAAGCACUCCGCCUGGGGAGUACGGUCGCAAGACUGAAACUCAAAGGAAUUGACGGGGGCCCGCACAAGCGGUGGAGCAUGUGGUUUAAUUCGAAGCAACGCGAAGAACCUUACCAGGUCUUGACAUCCUCUGACAACCCUAGAGAUAGGGCUUUCCCUUCGGGGACAGAGUGACAGGUG